Molecule: ribosomal RNA, 429 nt
Filed under: Bacteroidota bacterium
Lineage: Bacteria; Pseudomonadati; Bacteroidota
Description: Bacteroidetes bacterium partial 16S ribosomal RNA
Rfam family: Bacterial small subunit ribosomal RNA
Source: RNAcentral
UAGGGAAUCUUCGGCAAUGGGGGGAACCCUGACCGAGCAACGCCGCGUGAGUGAAGAAGGUUUUCGGAUCGUAAAGCUCUGUUGUUAAGGAAGAACGAGUGUGAGAAUGGAAAGUUCAUACUGUGACGGUACUUAACCAGAAAGGGACGGCUAACUACGUGCCAGCAGCCGCGGUAAUACGUAGGUCCCGAGCGUUGUCCGGAUUUAUUGGGCGUAAAGCGAGCGCAGGCGGUUAGAUAAGUCUGAAGUUAAAGGCAGUGGCUCAAGCAGUGUAGGCUUUGGAAACUGUUUAACUUGAGUGCGGAAGGGGAGAGUGGAAUUGCAUGUGUAGCGGUGAAAUGCGUAGAUAUAUGGAGGAACACCGGUGGCGAAAGCGGCUCUCUGGUCUGUAACUGACGCUGAGGCUCGAAAGCGUGGGGAGCGAACAGG